AGAAUCAACGCUGGCGGCGUGCCUCAGACAUGCAAGUCGAACGCGAAAGUCCCCUUCGGGGGACAAGUAGAGUGGCGCACGGGUGAGUAACACGUAGGUAAUCUACCUUCGGAUGGGGAAUAACAACCGGAAACGGUUGCUAAUACCGCAUAAUGCAGCGGCACCUAAUGGUGACAGUUGUUAAAGCGGGGGAUCGAAAGACCUCGCGUCUGAAGAGGAGCCUGCGGCGGAUUAGCUAGUUGGUAGGGUAACGCCUACCAAGGCGACGAUCCGUA
RNAcentral lists this ribosomal RNA (275 nucleotides) under uncultured soil bacterium. RNAcentral describes it as "partial 16S ribosomal RNA". It matches the Rfam family "Bacterial small subunit ribosomal RNA", at positions 26 to 285 of the family's 1533-position model. The record is from RNAcentral.